This 253-nucleotide ribosomal RNA is filed under the name uncultured bacterium. RNAcentral's name for it is "partial 16S ribosomal RNA". It matches the Rfam family "Bacterial small subunit ribosomal RNA", at positions 524 to 776 of the family's 1533-position model. The record is from RNAcentral.
UACAGAGGUCUCAAGCGUUGUUCGGAUUCAUUGGGCGUAAAGGGCGCGUAGGCGGCGGGGUAAGUCGGGUGUGAAAUCUCAGGGCUCAACCCUGAAACUGCACUCGAUACUGCUUUGCUUGAGGACUGGAGAGGAGACUGGAAUUCACGGUGUAGCAGUGAAAUGCGUAGAUAUCGUGAGGAAGACCAGUGGCGAAGGCGGGUCUCUGGACAGUUCCUGACGCUGAGGCGCGAAGGCCAGGGGAGCAAACAGG